AUGACUUUCAUCACCGUAUUGAUCUGGACGCUGGCAGUAUUAUGUAGAGAAUCUGUUGGUCAGGUGACAGUGACUCAAACUCCCUCAGAGCGGAUCUAUGAACCUGGACAAUCAGUCACUAUAACCUGUAAAACUAGCAGUGAUCCAAACUGCUGUCACAAUGGAAACCAUUUUCUUAGCUGGUACUUACAGAAACCUGGAGAAGCUCCUAAACUCCUGAUUUUUGGAUCAAUCAUUCGGCAGUCAGGAACUCCAUCUAGAUUCAGUGGCAGUCGAUCAUCAGGGAGAGAUUUUACUCUGACCAUCAGUGGAGUCCAGACUGAAGAUGCUGGACAUUAUUACUGUAUGAGUUCACACUGGAUCAACAGUAAAGAUGUAUUCACACAGUGA
Rhinichthys klamathensis goyatoka is the source of this 390-nucleotide non-coding RNA. The record is from the annotation of a RefSeq genome assembly. Lineage: Eukaryota; Metazoa; Chordata; Actinopteri; Cypriniformes; Leuciscidae.